RNAcentral lists this ribosomal RNA (243 nucleotides) under uncultured bacterium. RNAcentral describes it as "partial 16S ribosomal RNA". It matches the Rfam family "Archaeal small subunit ribosomal RNA", at positions 474 to 717 of the family's 1478-position model. The record is from RNAcentral.
UACCAGCACCCCGAGUGGUCGGGACGUUUAUUGGGCCUAAAGCAUCCGUAGCCGGUUCUACAAGUCUUCCGUUAAAUCCACCUGCUUAACAGAUGGGCUGCGGAAGAUACUAUAGAGCUAGGAGGCGGGAGAGGCAAGCGGUACUCGAUGGGUAGGGGUAAAAUCCGUUGAUCCAUUGAAGACCACCAGUGGCGAAGGCGGCUGCCAGAACGCGCUCGACGGUGAGGGAUGAAAAGCUGGGGG